GACGAACGCUGGCGGCGUGCUUAACACAUGCAAGUCGAACGGAAAGGCCCUGCUUUUGUGGGGUGCUCGAGUGGCGAACGGGUGAGUAACACGUGAGUAACCUGCCCUUGACUUUGGGAUAACUUCAGGAAACUGGGGCUAAUACCGGAUAGGAGCUCCUGCUGCAUGGUGGGGGUUGGAAAGUUUCGGCGGUUGGGGAUGGACUCGCGGCUUAUCAGCUUGUUGGUGGGGUAGUGGCUUACCAAGGCUUUGACGGGUAGCCGGCCUGAGAGGGUGACCGGCCACAUUGGGACUGAGAUACGGCCCAGACUCCUACGGGAGGAAGCAGUGGCGAAUAUUGCACAAUGGGCGGAAGCCUGAUGCAGCAACGCCGCGUGCGGGAUGACGGCCUUCGGGUUGUAAACCGCUUUCGCCUGUGACGAAGCGUGAGUGACGGUAAUGGGUAAAGAAGCACCGGCUAACUACGUG
This 468-nucleotide ribosomal RNA is filed under the name uncultured bacterium. RNAcentral describes it as "partial 16S ribosomal RNA". It matches the Rfam family "Bacterial small subunit ribosomal RNA", at positions 28 to 507 of the family's 1533-position model. The record is from RNAcentral.